AAGGUGGAUUUAUUAGUAAUUAUAUUUUAUUAUUAUUUGGUGAAGAGUGGAAUAACAUGUGUACAUAUUGCCCGUCGCUCUCGUUGUUAGUUGAGAUAAGUCGUAACAUAGUUGAUGUACUGGAAAGUGUAUCUUUUUGU
RNAcentral lists this ribosomal RNA (140 nucleotides) under Montaphe elrodi. Its description in RNAcentral is "partial small subunit ribosomal RNA". Lineage: Eukaryota; Metazoa; Arthropoda; Diplopoda; Polydesmida; Xystodesmidae. The record is from RNAcentral.